RNAcentral lists this long non-coding RNA (995 nucleotides) under Triticum aestivum (bread wheat). RNAcentral describes it as "long non-coding RNA (TAES_LNC024369)". The record is from RNAcentral. Lineage: Eukaryota; Viridiplantae; Streptophyta; Magnoliopsida; Poales; Poaceae.
AACACGAUUAGUAAGCAAGUCUGUUAUAGAGCACAUGCAGGUUGACAACAACUGCCCUUUUACUCCCCUUGAAAAAAUGUGUGUACAACCCUCUGCAUAUCAUAAAUAUUCAGCAAUACAUACACAGCUGCAGUUGAUCUGUACAAACACAAUUUACACGGAAGGAAGUUUCCCAUGAUUUUCUUUGUAGAUGUAUGGUUCACAAUUCAGCAACAGCAAGCCAUCACUUAUAUAUGAUGCAUGAGUUGGAUGGCAUGCAUUCUGAACUCAGUACCAAUGUACACACAGGAAGUGAUCAGACCCUAUAGUACUAUGUGCGUUUGCUUGACUACAUUAUUUGCCUCCUCCUGGGUUGGUUUGUCCUGCCAUUAUGAAAAGGAAGUUUAGGUUAUUGUAGGAAAAAUAUCUAACAUGUGGCAUACACCAACUUGUAAUGUAAAAACUGAAUAUUUUUUGGAAUUGAUCAAGUUCUUUAGCAUGCCAUGCUAUAGGUAUAGAGGGAGAGCAGGUGUAGAGAGAGAAUUUUGAGCGAUGCAGACCUUGCAGCAGUGCAGUACGGGGUGGGCGAGGAGGCCAGCCUCCACGCGUCGGAACGAAGCAAGGUACAGUCCCUAUUGAUAUCGGUGUGUGACGUAACUGGUGAGGAGGAUAGAGGUACUGAUGCUAGCCGCCAUGACGGUGCAGAUGAGCAGAUGAACCCGGGUAGGGGAGGAGAUGGUGGUGGAGGAGCUCGUGGUUGUCUGCCCCAGUGGCACCUCAAGGCAGAGCUCGUUCCCUCGUGCCGCUGCUGCGUCAAUCGCUUGCUUGAUCCGAGAGAAAGGAGCACAGGGUGCAGGGUCGGCUCCAGGACAGACGGAUCCACCCUGGGGAGCUCGUGGUAGCCGGAUCCCAAUGGUGGCACUUGCUCCGAGAGAAACAAACGGUGGCUGCAAGAUUGGUUCCGGUACCUACGGAUCUGACGCUGGGAGCCCGUGGUGGCCGGAUCCCGACGGCGG